Molecule: unclassified non-coding RNA, 609 nt
Filed under: Hevea brasiliensis (rubber tree)
Lineage: Eukaryota; Viridiplantae; Streptophyta; Magnoliopsida; Malpighiales; Euphorbiaceae
Source: RNAcentral
UCAAAUGGCUCGUGAUAGUGCUCCGUCGAUCAUCUUUAUUGAUGAAAUAGAUUCAUUGUGUGGUCAACGAGGUGAAGGUAAUGAAAGUGAAGCUUCAAGACGCAUAAAGACUGAACUUCUUGUGCAAAUGCAGGGUGUAGGACACAAUGAUCAAAAGGUUCUUGUUCUUGCUGCAACAAAUACUCCCUAUGCUUUGGAUCAGGCCAUUCGUCGACGAUUCGACAAGCGGAUAUACAUUCCCCUUCCUGAUUUGAAAGCCAGACAGCAUAUGUUCAAAGUGCAUUUGGGGGAUACACCACAUAAUUUAACGGAAGCAGAUUUUGAAAGCUUAGCACGCAGGACAGAUGGUUUCUCGGGUUCAGAUAUUUCAGUUUGUGUGAAGGAUGUGCUCUUCGAACCUGUUCGUAAAACUCAAGAUGCUAUGUUCUUCAUUAAGACUCCUGAUGGUAUGUGGGUACCUUGUGGACCAAAGCAACAAGGUGCUGUCCAAAUUACCAUGCAAGAGUUGGCAACUAAAGGACUCGCCUCAAAGAUUCUUCCUCCUCCAAUUACAAGAACAGACUUUGACAAGGUCCUAGCUCGACAAAGGCCUACCGUGAGUAAAUCUGA